AAAAGAGUUCGUGCUGAUAUGCAAGAAGUCAAUUUCCUAUAUAUGUAUAAAGAUCUGGUGGGGCUUUGUCCCGCGUUUGUUAUGGAGAUAGCCGACAGGUGAUUGCUUUUCAGAAAAUGAACUAAAUCUAUCGUUUGUGGGGGCCUCUAUCAUCGAUUUUUUUACUAGUUCCUGGCGGACUCUAUUGAAAAUCAAAAUGAAAAAGAUUUCGCGUAGAGAGUAAAAAUAAUUUAAAUUUGCUAUGUACCCGAUUCUACUGAAAGUUUUUGUUAUGGAAUUGACUCAGCUUAAACUUGUCAAUUUUUUUGCUGUCAUUCACGUAAAUAUCUUGUCCUUUAAAUAAAUACCUUUAAGUAGAUGAUAAACUCGCCUAUCGACGAAUUUUCAUCUUCAGCGAGAUUGAAAAAUUACAUGAAAAUUGCAGCAAGUACAAUUUAAAUUUUAUUAAAUCCGUAAUAUUAAGACAGUUUACAUGUUCUUUACUGUUCUUGAAAAGUCGUUCAUUGCUAGGCACAUUUUAUUAUGUACAGGGUUAUUAAGUAUAGGACAUUACCUAAGAUUCUCAGAUUUUUAACAAUUAAGAGUUUCAAAAGUUAAUUAAAGGCUUACAGUUAUUGUCUGAUUGUUAUAUUCUUCACCAUCUACCCAUCGUAAUUGUACCAUCACAACUUAUAUUUAUCAAACUCCUCAUUCUUUUGGAGUUGGGAGAGUAAAAUUUACCGAAACUCUUAGAGAUAAUAAUAACAUAGAUUUCGAUAUAAUAAAAAAAAUAA
Long non-coding RNA from Diachasmimorpha longicaudata, 773 nucleotides. RefSeq lists it as uncharacterized. The transcript is spliced from 2 exons. The record is from RefSeq and is a predicted model, not a curated record. Lineage: Eukaryota; Metazoa; Arthropoda; Insecta; Hymenoptera; Braconidae.